GUCUUAUCGAACUGGGCAGGAUACAGCCAACUGUGACACAUGUCGUAACAGUGCCUGCAUCAUAUACAGUGUGGAACUAGAUUUUAAACUUCAAGAGGACAAACUUCAGCCCUUAAUGAAGAGACUGUGUCCAUUAGAAGAGCCGUCCUACCCCUCUCUGCCUUACACACACGAGGUGUUCACCUCCACACCCAAACGCAAGUCCAAGACUGAGACCAAGAAGCAUGCGCGAUGGAAACUCUGGUUCCUCUAACAUAUGGAUUCAGGAUCCCUGAAACCAUCACAAACGAGCAAAUUCUAGUGGAAUUUUGCUUGACUAAUUGGAUAAAUAUGGAGAAAUGCUCACUGCUAGCCACCGUUUUGGAACAUGCAUCACGGGAUCCACUGAGCUACUGGAUUUUAGUAAGGAAUAACAGUUGUUUUCUAAUCAUGACCCUCUGAUGAACCCUCUGAGUUUGGGAACUGCUGAAUUCACCUGAUCUCACAUUUUUCAAUGGGAUUACACAAUGAUCCUUAGGUUUAGUCAAGUUAGCAAGGGACCCUGCAGAGGCGACAAGAAACUUCAAAGCUAAACGCUAGUUUGCCACAAAACUACUUUGGAGUCGUACAUCAAAGACAUCUAAUCAGCAAAGCACAAACUUUU
Sinocyclocheilus rhinocerous is the source of this 643-nucleotide long non-coding RNA. RefSeq lists it as uncharacterized. The transcript has 3 exons. NCBI's taxonomy places the organism in Eukaryota, Metazoa, Chordata, Actinopteri, Cypriniformes, Cyprinidae. The record is from RefSeq and is a predicted model, not a curated record.